Molecule: ribosomal RNA, 4347 nt
Filed under: Triticum aestivum (bread wheat)
Lineage: Eukaryota; Viridiplantae; Streptophyta; Magnoliopsida; Poales; Poaceae
Description: partial small subunit ribosomal RNA
Source: RNAcentral
AUGAGGGCGACCGUUGCGGCGUCCUCAGGGGCGGGCACUCCUUUGGAUCUAUCAGCCCGAUCGCCGGCCAGCCGGCCGCGGACCGAGGGCCGUUUCGGGGUGCUUGAGACGGAAGGCGAGGACGGCGAGGAAGAUGACGAAGAGCUGGCUGGAGAUUCAUCCGGGCUGGCGUCACCGACGCCAUCGGAUAAUGUGUGCCUUCUUUUGACUGAGGGUUACGACGAGAAGGAGCUGGCUGGGAUCAUCGAUGAGCUCCUUCCCGCGGAUGAUUCGGCGAGCGUUGGAUUGCAGGAGACGGAGGGCGACGAGGUAAUCCGGCGGGUCGCGCAGCGGCGGAUGGCGGCGAGGUCUAUUCGGCCAUGGAUCGGGCCGAUACCCAAGGUAUGUUUACCUCAGCUCACUCUGUGUGACAUGAUACAUCCGGAGAUGUGGACAACGGUGGUUCGUCGGAAGAAGGGACGCUGGCCGCCGGUGGAGACGGUGCCGCCGCGAUCUCCGGCGAAUUCACAGGCGGUCAGAUCACAGCCUAACGCAAGGACAAGAGGAGGACUGCGCGCACCGGCGAGGCGAGAUGGCUCGAGCGUGCCGGCCGUGUCGGGCCUGGGAGGUUCCCGACCCAACAUGGCUAGCCCUGUAGCGCUGCAUGAUGUGGGCCUGAGGUGCGCUCGGCCCAACAUGGCGUCUACUAGGGUACGACCUAUGCGUCCAUCGCCCGGGUUUCGUUCGAUUGGAAAAGGAAAGGCGCCGCGAGUUUGGCUGUCAACGGCGGCGGGGGAUUCGCGAUCUUUCGCGUCCGUGGUGAUGAGCUCGGGAAGUGGCGGCGACUGGCCUCCCCAGCGGGCCGGCGGCGGCAAUAACAUGCAGGGGCGUCCCGACGCCGGGGGCAAUCGCGGCGGAGCUACGGGGGGUCGUGGCGCUGGUCGUGGCGCGCCAAACGGCGGGGCGGCACAGGCGGCAGCCACUGGCCGGCAAGUUGGCGGGCUGAUGCGACCUGAGCAACAUGGCGGAGGUGGCCGUGGAGGCUAUGGUGGUUUUGGCAAUUACGGCGGCGGCGGCGGCGGCUAUAAUGGCGGUCGUUCGAACUGGAAUCGCCAAUGGGGUGAUGAUGGCUCUACGGGGCAUAUGGUGACGGGCAGUUUGCUGGUUCUUCAUCAGGUGGACAGAGAGAGGCACCUGAUGACUAUGGUGGCUUCCAGGGUCCUGUCGGAGGUUUCGUCGAGGGACCUGCUGGCCCGUAGCAGUACCAGCCGCGUCGGGGUGGUCCGGCAGGCAAGCGAUUCGGGAGGACUGGGGGCCGGAACACACGCCCACCGAGGAGGGAUCCUCCGCCGCGGCGUGAUCCGGCGGACUCAGCCGGCAGCGGUGGUGCCCACGGUUGGUGCAACUGCUGCGGGUUCGACGGCUGCUACGAGCUCGACGGCAGUGACGGUGACGUCUGCUGAUGGCGCGGCAAGGCUGCCGGGGGAGGCCAUGGCUGCAGUGGCUGCCGUUCCAGUCGAGAAGGUGAAGAACGCUGCGGAAAAGGGUGAUAAAACAAAUCAGCGCAAGAAAGAGAAAUUGUACUGCUACCGAUGUGGCGAGCCUGGGCACUUCUCAGUUGGAUGUACCACAGAGUUGUGCAACAUAUGUCAGAAGCCAAAACAUGACACGGAGUGUCCGCUUUUGUCUGUACCGGUGCCGACGGUAUCUAUUUAUGGAGUGUGUGAUGCUGCACUCAUGUUCUUCGAGACGCCUGUGAUGCAUUCUUGCAGGCCUGGUCUGGAGAAUGCCAGGACGGGCUUGAUUAGAGUUACACAUGGUACUUUGGCUGAGGAUCAGAUUAUUGCUCAACUUAGACGGCUGGUAUCGAGUUCUUUUCAGUGGGCUCUAGAGAGGAUUGGAGAUCAAGUGUACAAGGUUAAUUACCCGACUAAGGUUGAUCUAGAUAGGAUCGACAACUUUGGCAUUUGCAAGGUUCCUGGCAGCUCUUGUCGCUUUGAGUUUGAUGAGUGGAAACAGAACGAGCCGGCUGGGGUUCCUCUUAUGAAAAUCUGGGUGAGAUUCUCGGGCGUUCCUCCUAAAGCACUUAAUGAGUAUCUUGUGGUGGCGAGUCUGGGCUCUCUGAUUGGUAAAAUUCAGGAGGUGGACAUGGAUUUCACACGUAAGCAUGGGAUUGCACGGCUGCGAGUUGGGGUGAUUGAUGUGGAUUUGGUGCCUGCUAUGUUACCGUGGUUUUAUGAUGGUUUGGGAUAUGAUCUGAAACUAGUGAUUGAGGGCCAGCCUAUGGCUUUGGAUGAGGACAGAGCUAGGGGACCAGGGGACGGCGCGGAUGAUUCUGAUGAGCGUCCGGAUGAUUUGAUGGACCAGGAUAAGAGAGGAGAUCCACCUCCCUCAUCUGGGGGAACUGGACAGUCGGACUCUACGCCAGGAACGGCGGCUCGAGUUUCCGUGUCCACGCCCAUGACUGGGCUUCGUUUCGGUUCUUUCUGGGCGGCUUUGGCGCCUGCUCGCCUAUGGGCUGAUAGGAUGGAUAGUACAGACCCGGCGGAGAGUGAGUUACCUCCGUUGUCACCUGUUCGCUUCUCUUAUGCAAUGGGAGGCGCCAGUUUGUGUUCGCCCCCGAGGUCGCCGCGGGAGGGGAGCCCCAGACGGGUGGUUACCCCUGAUGUGACUAAGGAUGCUAUGAUCUCUUCGGACACUACGGAGGAUAGGUCUCCUAUACUAACACAGGAGGUGGAGAUGGUGGGAGAGUUAUCUUCGGCGGGCGAGCGCCCGACAACGGUUGUGGUUCGGAUUCCUUCUCCAUCGCCUAUGCAGGUGUCACAGGCGGUGACACCCGCACAGGAGGAUGCUGCUUCGCGGAUUCAGACGGCAUCACUCCCACCGCAGGAGGCGGCGCGAGUGUUGCCUUUGGAGACUUGUGUCCAACCACACACUGCUGACCGACAGGAGGCUUCGAAAAAAGGAAAGCCAUGGCGCAUGUCUGCAGCCCGUAAUCCUCCCAUCCGCGGAGUGAAGCUCGCGGCCGUCCUCGCCUCGGUUGCCUCGUCGCCGACGCUCAACGCCCUCAUCGCCGUGCUUGUAACCGCCGCUCGCAAAAGCAAUGUCCUGGUCGCUGCAGCUCCGGCCAGGCGACCACCACCUUGCCACGGCCACGACUGUCACCCCGGGAGCCUUCCUAUUACCGCAGCUCAUGGCGUGCUCGAAUCAGCUGGCGUAGCACCACCUUGCACAGCUAAAAGAAGGAGAAGCGAGGCGCUGGUGAUGGGCAGUAGCGAUUUGGAAGAAAGAAGACGAAGGGUGGGUGCGAAUGGGUGGCUGGGGCGUUUGAGUGAGAAGAUAAGGCUGCUGGGGUGGUACUCCAUCAGGGAGUUUGAGAGGACGAACGCCAUAUCGUACUCCUUCACCGCCGCUACCUGCGCCGCGGCAGCUUUGUCUCCGGCGGCGGCCGCUUCCUUCAUGUCGAACCACACGCGCUCCGCCGCCCUGAGUCACUUGAGCGCGGGUGAGAAGAUCCGGUCGAGGCGGUCGAAGUUUCUCCACACCCGCCGGCCGGAGCUGCUGGAGAGUGCGCUGCGAUCCCGAGCCUGCACCUUGCGCCAUUCUUCCAUCGGCGAGCGGGGGGAGGAGCUUCCCGCCUCGUCUUCAUGGCUGUGCUUGUGGGGCGGCGAGCCGCCACGGCGGCGAAGCCCCCCUUGGCCACCCCUCCCGCGACCCGCGCUCGACAUCGGGGCGAGGUUCAUUUGGCUACGCGUGCGGCAAACAGCUGUCGGAGGCGAAGGAGUUGAUGGACCAUCUAGUCACUGGGUGCCCUUUCUCUCGCACCCUUUGAUAUUGGGUCCUUUCCUGGAUUUAAUCGACCGUUCAUCACUCCUGGAGCUCAGAUCAUGGAUUGAUGGCACGAGGCUACCCACUUCACACCCCCCGUUGGGCGUAAGAGGGCAUGUCCACGGCCGUAUAAUUGCGCACUGGGCCGUCCCAACCAUCUCUUUAAAUCGCAAAAAAUAUGAGUGUGCCAAGAUUCGAGACACGAACUUCUGGUUCAAAAUGCGACGUGAUAACCAACUUGCCACAAUCACUUCACGUGGUUGCAGCCACAACUCCAAGAAUACGCGGAGGAGGUGGCCUGGGUCGGCGUCGGCGCCGUCCGGCGUGGGCUACGGGCCCGCUUCCAAGUGCGUCUACGCGUCGGCCACCCACGCCGGGUCCUUCAAGUGCCGGUUCCAACGCACCAACUCCAAGGGCCACGGCCACGACCAGGGCCAGGGAAGCCGCCCUUCUUCGCCCCCUUCACCGGCCGCGGCCAAUGCGGUGCCGCGGCACCCGGCCUCGCCGUCCCCGUCCUCCGGCACCGUCGCGACCCAGUGA